This 265-nucleotide ribosomal RNA is filed under the name uncultured archaeon. RNAcentral's name for it is "partial 16S ribosomal RNA". It matches the Rfam family "Archaeal small subunit ribosomal RNA", at positions 718 to 982 of the family's 1478-position model. The record is from RNAcentral.
AGUCACUGACAUUAGAUACCCCGGUAGUCCCAGCCGUAAACGAUGCGCGUUAGGUGUAUCGACGACCACGAGUCGUCGAGGUGCCGAAGGGAAACCGUGAAACGCACCACCUGGGAAGUACGGUCGCAAGGCUGAAACUUAAAGGAAUUGGCGGGGGAGCACCACAACAGGUGGAGCCUGCGGUUUAAUUGGAUUCAACGCCGGACAUCUCACCGGAUAAGACAGCUGAAUGAUUGUCAAUCUGAAGGUUUUACAUGACUAGCUG